GACGACGCUGGCGGCGUGCCUAACACAUGCAAGUCAAGCGGGGUUGAAGCGAGAGGUAACUCGAGUUUCUACCUAGCGGCGGACGGGUGAGUAACGCGUGGGCAACCUGCCUCAAGGUCUGGGAUAACAGCCCGAAAGGGCUGCUAAUACCGGGUAUGCUUGUGGCCUCGCAUGGGGCUAUGAGCAAAGGGGAAACCCGCCUUGAGAUGGGCCCGCGUCCCAUCAGCUAGUUGGUGAGGUAACAGCUCACCAAGGCGACGACGGGUAGCCGGCCUGAGAGGGUGACCGGCCACACUGGGACUGAGACACGGCCCAGACUCCUACGGGGGGCAGCAGUGGGGGAUCUUGCACAAUGGGCGAAAGCCUGAUGCAGCGACGCCGCGUGAGCGAAGAAGGCCUUCGGGUUGUAAAGCUCUGUCUGGAGGGACGAAGGAAGUGACGGUACCUCCGGAGGAAGCCACGGCUAACUACGUG
This 474-nucleotide ribosomal RNA is filed under the name uncultured bacterium. RNAcentral describes it as "bacterial SSU rRNA". It matches the Rfam family "Bacterial small subunit ribosomal RNA", at positions 33 to 507 of the family's 1533-position model. The record is from RNAcentral.